This 476-nucleotide ribosomal RNA is filed under the name uncultured bacterium. RNAcentral describes it as "bacterial SSU rRNA". It matches the Rfam family "Bacterial small subunit ribosomal RNA", at positions 28 to 507 of the family's 1533-position model. The record is from RNAcentral.
GAUGAACGCUGGCGGCGUGCCUCAAACAUGCAAGUCGGAGCGGGGCUAUGUAAUAUCGCAAGGUAGAACAUAGCCUAGCGGCGGACGGGUGAGUAACACGUGGGUAACCUGCCUGGAAGACAGGGAUAACGAUUCGAAAGGGUCGCUAAUACCUGAUAAUAUCCUUUCAUCGCAUGGUGAUAGGAAGAAAGGGGAAACCCGCUUUCAGAUGGGCCCGCGUCCCAUCAGCUAGUUGGUAAGGUAAAGGCUUACCAAGGCGACGACGGGUAGCCGGUCUGAGAGGAUGUAUGGCCACACUGGGACUGAGAUACGGCCCAGACUCCUACGGGAGGCAGCAGUUGGGAAUCUUAGGCAAUGGACGAAAGUCUGACCUAGCGACGCCGCGUGAGGGAAGAAGGCCUUCGGGUUGUAAACCUCUGUCAUGGGGGAAGAAGGAAGUGACGGUACCCCAAGAGGAAGCCCCUGCUAACUACGUG